GGGCCCGCACAAGCGGCGGAGCAUGCGGAUUAAUUCGAUGCAACGCGAAGAACCUUACCUGGGUUUGACAUCACUCGAAAACUCGUAGAGAUACGGGGUCCUUCGGGGCGGGUGACAGGUGGUGCAUGGCUGUCGUCAGCUCGUGUCGUGAGAUGUUGGGUUAAGUCCCGCAACGAGCGCAACCCUCGUUCGAUGUUGCCAGCGGGUUAUGCCGGGGACUCAUCGAAGACUGCCGGGGUCAACUCGGAGGAAGGUGGGGAUGAGGUCAAGUCAUCAUGCCCCUUAUGUCCAGGCUUCACGCAUGCUACAAUGGCCGGUACAAAGGGCUGCGAUAUCGCAAGAUGGAGCGAAUCCCAAAAAGCCGGUCUCAGUUCGGAUUGGGGUCUGCAACUCGACCCCAUGAAGUCGGAGUCGCUAGUAAUCGCAGA
RNAcentral lists this ribosomal RNA (428 nucleotides) under uncultured Actinomycetes bacterium. Its description in RNAcentral is "bacterial SSU rRNA". It matches the Rfam family "Bacterial small subunit ribosomal RNA", at positions 917 to 1348 of the family's 1533-position model. Lineage: Bacteria; Bacillati; Actinomycetota; Actinomycetes. The record is from RNAcentral.